Molecule: ribosomal RNA, 492 nt
Filed under: uncultured bacterium
Lineage: Bacteria
Description: partial 16S ribosomal RNA
Rfam family: Bacterial small subunit ribosomal RNA
Source: RNAcentral
AGUGAACGCUGGCGGUGGGCCUAACACAUGCAAGUCGAACGGCCAAACGGUAAGCGCUUGCCUUUAAGGGUGGCGAGUGGCGGACGGGUGGGGCGUACAUAGGCAUCUUAUUUUUCGUGGGGGAUUUCGUGAGGCCACUUACGCUACUACCGCAUACAUCCUACCGCUGAAAGCAGGGGAUCUUCGGACUUUUGGUGUUUGAUUUAGACGAUGUCGGAUUAGCUAGUUGGCUGGGUAAAGGAACACCAAGGCAACGAUCCGUAGCUGGUCUGAGAGGAUGAUCAGCCACACUGGAACUGAGACACGGUCCAGACUCCUACGGGAGGCAGCAGUAGGGAAUAUUCGACAAUGGGCGCAAGCCUGAUCCAGCCAUACCGCGUGAGUGAAGAAGGCCUUCGGAUUGUAAAGCCCUGUUGUUGGGAAAGAAAAGCAGCGUGUGUAAACCCCGCUGUUCUGACGGUACCCAAACAGAAAGCACCGGCUAACUUCGUG